This 347-nucleotide ribosomal RNA is filed under the name uncultured bacterium. RNAcentral describes it as "partial 16S ribosomal RNA". It matches the Rfam family "Bacterial small subunit ribosomal RNA", at positions 338 to 682 of the family's 1533-position model. The record is from RNAcentral.
CCUACGGGAGACAGCAGUGAGGAAUAGUGGUCAAUGGACGAGAGUCUGAACCAGCCAAGUAGCGUGAAGGAUGACGGCCCUAUGGGUUGUAAACUUCUUUUAUAAAGGAAUAAAACGAGGCACGUGUGCCUUUUUGCAUGGACGUUAUGAAUAAGGAUCGGCUCACUCCGUGCCAGCAGCCGCGGUAAUACGGAGGAUCCGAGCGUUAUCCGGAUUUAUUGGGUGUAAAGGGAGCGUAGAGGGGUUGUUAAGUCAGUUGUGAAAGUUUGCGGCUCAACCGUAAAAUUGCAAUUGAUACGGGCAGUCUUGCGUACAGUUGAGGUAGGCGGAAUUCGUGGUGUAGCGGU